GGAGACUGCCGGUGACAAACCGGAGGAAGGUGGGGAUGACGUCAAGUCAUCAUGGCCCUUACGGCCAGGGCUACACACGUGCUACAAUGGUCGGUACAGAGGGUUGCCAAGCCGCGAGGUGGAGCUAAUCUCACAAAACCGAUCGUAGUCCGGAUCGCAGUCUGCAACUCGACUGCGUGAAGUCGGAAUCGCUAGUAAUCGUGAAUCAGAAUGUCACGGUCGAAUACGUUCCCGGGCCUU
Molecule: ribosomal RNA, 240 nt
Filed under: uncultured Pseudomonas sp.
Lineage: Bacteria; Pseudomonadati; Pseudomonadota; Gammaproteobacteria; Pseudomonadales; Pseudomonadaceae
Description: partial 16S ribosomal RNA
Rfam family: Bacterial small subunit ribosomal RNA
Source: RNAcentral